AAGUGGAGAAAGGUUCCAUGUGAACAGCAGUUGGACAUGGGUCAGUCGAUCCUAAGAGAUAGGCAAGAGCCGUUGCAAAGUGCCCAUUGCCGGGCCGCCUAUCGAAAGGGAAUCGGGUUAAAAUUCCCGAACCAGAACAAGGAUACGGUCACCUCGCGUGGCAGCAGCGGUGACGCAACCGAACUCGGAAACGUCGGCGAGAGUCCCGGGAAGAGUUCUCUUUUCUUGUUAACGCACUGUCACCCUGGAAUCGGUUUAGCCGGAGAUAGGGUUUCACGUGCGGUAAAGCUCCACGCUUCUUGUGGAGUCCGGUGCACUUUCGACGGCCCUUGAAAAUCCGAGGGAGUCCAUCAUUUUCUUGUCUGGUCGUACUCAUAACCGCAGCAGGUCUCCAAGGUGAACAGCCUCUGGUCGAUGGAACAAUGUAGGUAAGGGAAGUCGGCAAAAUGGAUCCGUAACUUCGGGAAAA
Molecule: ribosomal RNA, 469 nt
Filed under: Pseudochrysogorgia sp. XMUB7697
Lineage: Eukaryota; Metazoa; Cnidaria; Anthozoa; Scleralcyonacea; Chrysogorgiidae
Description: partial large subunit ribosomal RNA
Rfam family: Eukaryotic large subunit ribosomal RNA
Source: RNAcentral